CUAAAGCUAUCCAAUUUCAACAGUUAAAAUAAGUAAUACCUAUCUUAGUAAUACAUAUUAAAACCAUCAAAAAUAAUUAAGCGGCCUUAUUACAUUUAAAAAACCCAAAACUUCAAACGUAAAUAAAAGGAUGUCCAGUUCACCAGAAGAAAACCAAACUUUCAGAACGGGUGGCCACUCCGAAUUCCCUCACAGCUCCAAGCCCACUAUGGUUGGGGAUUCCUGCGUGGAUGAAAAUAAAAUGGGUGAGUUUGGGGAAGCUCAGUGUGUAAGGAAAACCCAUUCAAAGCCCAAGUCAACUCGAGCCUAUUGGGCCUAAGCCCAUUCAGGUAACAGUGGUACUAGACCAGAGCCCUUUUCAGAUUACAAUAAACUGGGCCUUAGCCCCUUAUUCAGAUAACAGUAUGGUCAUAAGCCCAUUUCAAAAUACAUGCAACAUCAAUAACAUAUGCAAGCCCAUUUGGGGAGUCUACUCAACCCACCAACCACUACACUCCACCCGUACCAGCCAUACACUCCAUGUGGGGAAUAGCUCAACCCACCUAACCCAACACUCCACAGUUGCAGCCUUGCUGCUCAGUUAGCAGUAAAUUGAGGCAAAGCCUCCAGUACGUGGACAAGCCACUUUCAGUACUUCCUCCGUCAAUAUCCCAAUCCCAUGCAUCAGAUAAUAACAACAUGGCAUGCAGUAAAUAACAACAGUCAAACAUGCAUUUAGGUCAAUUUAACCCUAGGGGUAUUUCGGUAAUUUAUCUACUAGGGGUAAAACUGUAAAUUUUUCACUUUUAAAGGUAUUUCAGUAAUUUAUCUAUUUUAGGGUUUUUCAUGCAUAUUCCUACUUUUCACGUACUAACAGAAUCACGUACCGAGUGUUCUUACCGAAUUGGGCCUGUUGGCCCAUCAUUCCAAUUUUCGCCCAUUAAGCCCAAAAAUAUCGAGGGCACAGAAAUCAUGCACUUCACAGUCCAAAUUUUGUAGCUUACCAAAAACAUUAAUCGAUUUACCUCACGAGCAUUCGCACACUCGCAAAUCUACAAAAUACCGAUUUUCGGCAUUUCAGCUUUUCAACUUUUACCGAUCCAGACUAAGAAAGAGGAUGUUAGUUACAUACUUGUUUGCGACGAUAUGCUGACGAGAUCUACACACGAACCGCCUACAAUUGGAUUACUAACACGUUAAUCUAACUAUUCAAAUACAAACUACGUAUUAACCCCUUACAAUAUUCGGCCAACCACACCUACAGAUCAUAGUAAGCUUAUAAGAAAUCAAUAAGCAACUCAUUAAAAUUUUUUUGUCAAUGUUAACCACAUAAUCAUAAUUUCACUGCAAGCUGUCUUCCUGAGAAACAGUCACUAAAUCAUUUAUAACUGGUGCUACAAAACUCCAAAUCAAGUGCCGUUAAUUUUCCCUGAAAAUAGACUCAUAUAUCUUAUAUCCAUAAAAUUUUCAGAUUUUUUGGUUUGGCCAAUUAAUACCAGAUAUUUCUCAAAGUUUCGCAUGUUUCACUGUUUGACUAAUCUGACCACUCUUCAUUACGAAUCAAAUUUCUCAUUGUACAGAAUUCAAAAUAUGUUCUCGUUUAUUUCAUUUGAAACUAGAUGCAACAAGCUUUAAUUACAUAAUUUAUUCAGCUUCUAAUUCAUCUCCCACAAUUUAUGGUGAUUUUCCAAAGUCACAUUACUGCUGCUGUCCCAAGCAGAUUUAUUACUAAAUUCACUCUUUCACACAUAACUUGCAUGCAUGUUAUUUAAACAUGUAUAUCACCAAUCAAUCAUCACAUAUCUAUGAUUUUACUUAAGUAUAAUCUCCAUUUCAUCAUUUUAAAGCACAACAUGUUAGCCGAUAUUUCCCCUUAGCAUCUAAGGCACAUACAUGCUCAUUUGUUUGGCUCAACUUCACCUAUCUUCCAUUUUUCAUCAAAAGAACAUGAAACAACAACCAUUUCCUUCGUUUUAAUUCAUGACUAAAUGCUCACAACACAACUAAAAACCAAAAUAUGCUUCAAGAGUUAAGGUAGAAUCAAGAAGAACUCAUGAACCUCAAAAUAAAAACAAACUACCAUGAACUUACCUUCAAUUUUUCUUCCCCAAGUGACCGAACAUUCAAGAGCUUUCUCCUCUCCUUUCUCGUCUCUAACUUUAGGCUAUGAUGAACAAAGAUGGACAAAACUUUGUUCUUUUCACCCCUUUUUCUUUUAAUAAAAUUUCAUAUUUCAUCCAUUUAAUUCUUUAAUACAAAAGACAUGAAAUUCCCAUCAUGGAACAUUUACCUAACCCAUUAUCAAUUUGUACCAUGAAUUAUGGAUAUCAAUUGCUCAUAUUGUCUACAACAACAUGAUGGCUGGCCACUUCAUGUAAAAUGGGAGGUUUGUCAUGCAAAUCCUCCUAUUUUGUACUCCUAUUUAUUUGGCCACUUCAAUUUAGCCUAUAGCAUUUUCAAACAUUUUCACAUAGAUCAUAUUUCAUAAUUUCACUCACAAAUGACAAAAUUAAAGCAUGAAAUUUUGCCAACAUUCACAGAAUUCCCGAAAAUUGGGACGUUACAACUCUACCCCCUUAAAGAAAUUUCAGCCUCGAAAUUUACCUGAUCCAAAUAGUUGAGGGUAUUGUUGACACAUAGUCUUUUCUGAUUCCCAAGUAGCUUCUUCCCUUCCAUGAUUAUGCCACAGUACUUUUACCAACAGAACCGACUUCCUUCUUAGAACUUUAACCUCUCGAUCUAAAAUUUGUAUGGGUUUUUCCUCAAAGGUCAAAUCAAUCCUUACUUCAAUCUCCUCCACUGGCACAACAUGUGAGGGAUCCGAUUGAUAUCGUCUUAACAUAGACACAUGAAAGACGUUAUGGAUUCUGUCUAACUCUGGUGGUAACUCUAACUGAUACGCUACUGGCCCUAGCCGCCUAAAAACCCGAUAAGGCCCUAUAAACCGCGGACUCAAUUUACCUUUCUUGCCGAAUCUCAAGAUCUUCUUCCAAGGUGAAACCUUUAAGAAAACCAUAUCCCAAACCGCGAACUCUAUCUCUUUGCGCUUUAGGUCCGCAUACGACUUCUGUCUAUCAGAUGCCUCUUUUAAUCGAUCUCUUAUCAACUUAACCUUACUUUCAGUAUCUGCCACCAACUCCGGUCCAAGCACUUGUCGUUCACCUAACUCUGUCCAACACGUAGGCGUACGACAUCUCCGCCCAUAAAGUGCCUCAUAUGGAGCCAUCUGAAUACUUGCUUGGUAGCUGUUAUUGUAUGCAAAUUCUGCCAACGGCAAGUAAUCCUCCCAACUACCUCAAAAAUCAAUCACGCAUCCCCCCAACAUGUCCUCCAGAAUCUGAAUAACCCUUUCCGAUUGACCAUCAGUCUGGGGAUAGAAAACCGUACUAAAAUUCAAUCGCGUCCCUAAUGCCUCAAGCAACUUUUGCCAAAACCGAAAUGUAAAUAUGAGAUCCCGAUCAGAAAUAAUUGAAACUGGGACUCCAUGAAGUCGCACAAUCUCCGCCACAUACAACUUGGCUAACUUUUGAAGUGAAAAGUCAGUACAAACAGGUAUAAAAUGGGCCGAUUUGGUCAACCUAUCCACAAUCACCCACACCAAGUCUUUCUUCGAUGGUGUCAAGGGCAGCUCACUCACAAAGUCCAUGGUUACCCUCUCCCACUUCCAAAGUGGUAUCUUCAUUGGCUGCAACAGUCCAGAAGGUAAUCGUUGCUCAGCUUUCACUUGCUGGCAUGUCAGACAUUUCCCUACAAACUCCGUUACUUCUCGUUUAAGUCCAGGCCACCAGUACAAUUCUCGUAAGUCAUGAUACAACUUGUUCCCUCCAGGAUGCAUGGCACAAAGUCCUCCAUGAGCUUCCUUCAAUAUUUUCUACCUCAAAUCAAAGUCCUUCGGAACACAAAUUCUUCCUCGAAAACACAGAACUCUUUCGCCAUUUAACCCAAACUCAGAAGUUUCCCUUUCCUUAACUUGUUGGAAACGAGCGACCAAAGACUCAUCAUUCAACUACUUUUCCUUAAUCUGAUCCACCCAGGUUGGCCUCACUUGUAACUCAGCCAACAGACUUCCAUCAUCAUAUAGACUCAGACGAGCAAACAUUACUCUUAGAUCAGAUACAACUCUAUGACUUAGAGCAUCGGCUACCACAUUAGCCUUGCCUGGGUGAUACUCGAUCGAACAGUCAUAAUCCUUAAGUAACUGAAUCCAUCUUCUUUGCCUAAGGUUCAGCUCCUUUUGAGUCAACAAAUACUUAAGACUCUUAUGGUCAGUGUAUAUAAUACACCUUUCUCCGUACAAGUAAUGUCUCCAAAUCUUAAGUGCAAAUAUCACUGCUGCCAACUCUAAAUCAUGAGUUGGAUAGUUCCCCUAAUGAGGCUUAAGCUGUCGUGAUGCAUAUGCAACCACCUUACCCUCUUGCAUUAACACGCAGCCCAAACCCACGUGUGAUGCGUCACUAUACACACUAAAAUCCUGCCAAGACUCCGGCUGAAUCAACACAGGUGCUUUAGUCAAAACUUUCUUCAACUUCUCAAAAGCUUCCUGCUGCUUCUCAGUCCAUACAAACGGUAUUCCUUUCCUUAUGAGUUUUGUCAGAGGUGCUGCCAUCACAGAAAAACCUUCUACAAACCUUCUGUAGUAUCCUGCCAACCCUAGGAAACUUCGAAUUUCUGACACCGUCCUAGGUGGCUUCCACUUCAAAAUUGCUUCAAUCUUUCGAAGGUCCACAUUAAUCCCUUCGGCAGAGACCACAUGUCCUAAGAAGGUUACCUCCCUCAACCAAAAUUCACACUUGCUGAACUUCGCGAAGAGUUUCUUCUCUCUUAACACUCGCAGCACUAUACGGAGAUGCUCAUCAUGUUUCGUUUCAGUUUCAGAAUAUACCAGGAUAUCGUCAAUAAAGACGACUACGAACUGAUCUAAAAAUGGUUGAAACACACGAUUCAUCAGAUCCAUAAAUGCUGCAGGAGCGUUCGUCAGUCUAAAUGGCAUAACCAGAAACUCGUAAUGACCAUACCGAGUCCUGAAUGUUGUCUUAUGGAUAUUUGCCUCCUUAACCCUUAACUGAUGAUAUCUAGAUCAAAGGUAGAUCUUGGAAAAUACAGAAGCUCCUCUAAGCUGGUCGAACAGAUCAUCAAUCCUUGGCAGUGGAUACUUAUUCUUAAUCGUCAAUUUGUUCAAUUAGCAAUAAUCAAUGCACAUCCGCAUCAUACCAUCCUUCUUUUUCACGAAUAGCACCGGUGCUCCCCAUGGAGACACGCUUGGCCUAAUGAAGCCCUUAUCCAACAACUCUUGAAUUUGUGCCUUUAGCUCCACCAACUCCUUCGGUGCCAUUCUAUACGGUGCGAUAGACACUGGUAUCGUUCCAGGCAAUAAGUCGAUUCCAAACUCCACUUCUCGGUUCGGAGGCAAUCCUGGAAGCUCCUCCGGAAAAACAUCUUGGAACUCCUUUAUAGUCCUAACCUUAUCCACUGUCAAUCCCUCCUUUUCCGACUGACUUACAAAUGCCAAAUAGGCCUCACAACCUUUCUGAAUCCACUUCUCGCUCUUAAUGCUGACACCACAUUGGACAAAUAAUCCCUCCGCUCACCUAUCACCAUAACCUCCUCAUCCUUUGUGGUCCUUAACACCAUUCGUUUAGCAGCACAAUUCGGGGUCGCUUUAUGCUUAACAAGCCAGUCCAUUCCCAAAAUGAGAUCAAACUCUCCGAACGGUAACUCCAUCAGAUCUCCAGGGAAAAUCCUACCUUGAGUUUCUAAGGGUACAUCCCUAUACAGUUUGUCUACCCUAACCGAGUGACCCAAAGGACUUAGUACAGAUACCCCACUCACAAUCUCCUCAGAGCAGUCCAAGUUGUCCGUAAUCCGUUCUGUGGCCUCCAAUCAAUAUCCUGCCGCAUUCGAGGUGAUACCAGACACACCCCUAAAGAUCUCCGCUCCGUUGGCCCGAAGUCGUUCAGAAAUAGAUCCCCAAACUCUAUUGCCCACACUUGCCCCGGUAACCCUUUCCAGAACACGAAGCAUUGCCUAUGACAGGGCAUCAUCCCCGACACCGUGGUCAUGAAACACUACCUCUGUUGUCAGUGGUACCGGUGCAUCCACCGCCGGCAUAUAUCUCGAAGACGAAGAUCUCGCUCGAACACUUCCUCGGCUCCGUCCACGGCCUCUUGUACUCAUAUCGUAUUAUCUUGAUUACGAAUUUUUAUGCAUCAAUUAAUAGUUCAGAGUUUAUUUUCGCAGAAUCGAAGUCUAGCUACAAUUUUAGUAUCUUAUCAAAUUUUCCUAUGGUUUCAGUAUCAUCCUAUCUAGAGUAUUCUAGCAGAAUUUCAGUACAGACAGAUAAGUCAGAAAAAUAUUCAGAAGAGUUUAGAGUAAUAAUUACAGGCAUGGGCCGGAGAUUCGAAAUACCACAUUCUAAAGAUCUAAAUUUUGAAAAUCGCGUUUUUCGCAAUCUUUAUAAUUUUUUUUUGAAAAUCUUUGGUUUUUGUAAAUCCAUUCUACAGCCGAGUUGUUGCAACCUAGGCUUUAAUACCACUAAAUGUAGCACCCCAAACUCGGCCCAAACAUUAUGACCGGAUCCGACAUGCCACAUCGAAGCGUUCAAAACAUUUUAUAUUGUUGAUCCAGAAAAACUUACUUAGUGUUUUAAAAAAUAAUUUCAUUAUAGGUUAAAGUGAAUGGAAGCUGUGCACCAGAUAGGAAACCGAAAAAGAAGUGAGUCCAUCGGACUGCUUAAGUACCAAGCUCCCUUCGGAUCCAAUCCUAGAAAUGCAUACCGACAUUGCCACACCUUAAUGUCAUGAAUAUUUCUAGGAAACCGAUUUUGAUUAAGUCAUUUUUAGAAAAAGUUAAUAAUUUUGGAAAAUACUUUCAUUGCGGAAGCUUUGCUUGUUGUCGUAUUAUUUUAAAAUCAAUUGUAUUUUUUGAAAACGCUCCCUAAAGCUAUCCAAUUUCAACAGUUAAAAUAAGUAAUACCUAUCUUAGUAAUACAUAUUAAAACUAUCAAAAAUAAUUAAGCGACCUUAUUACAUUUAAAAAACCCAAAACUUCAAACGUAAAUAAAAGGAUGUCCAGUUCACCAGAAGAAAACCAAACUUUCAGAACGGGUGGCCACUUCGAAUUCCCUCACAGCUUCAAGCCCACUAUAGUUAAGGAUUUCCUGCGUGGAUGAAAAUAAAAGGGGUGAGUUUAAGAAAACUCAGUGUGUAAAGAAAACCUAUUCAAAGCCCAAGUCAGCUCAAGCCUAUUGGGCCUAAGCCCAUUUAGGUAACAGUGGUACUGGACCAGAGCCCUUUUCAGAUUACAAUAAACUGGGCCUUAGCCCCUUAUUCAGAUAACAGUAUGGCCCAUAGGCCCAUUUCAAAAUACAUGUAACAUCAAUAACAUAUGCAAGCCCAUUUGGGGAGACUACUCAACCCACCAACCACUACACUCCACCCGUACCAGCCAUACACUCCAUGUGGGGAAUAGCUCAACCCACCUAACCCAACACUCCACAGUUGCAGCCUUGCUGCUCAGUUAGCAGUAAAUUGAGGCAAAGCCUCCAGUACGUGGACAAGCCACUUUCAGUACUUCCUCCGUCAAUAUCUCAAUCCCAUGCAUCAGAUAAUAACAUGGCAUGCAGUAAAUAACAACAGCCAAACAUGCAUUUAGGUCAAUUUAACCCUAGGGGUAUUUCGGUAAUUUAUCUACUAGGGGUAAAACUGUAAAUUUUCCAUUUUUAAAGGUAUUUUAGUAAUUUAUCUAUUUUAGAGUUUUUCAUGCAUAUUCCUACUUUUCACGUACUAACAGAAUCACGUACCGAGUGUUCUUACCGAAUUGGGCCUGUUGGCCCAUCAUUUCAAUUUUGGCCCAUUAAGCCCAGAAAUAUCGAGGGCACAGAAAUAAUACAUUUCACAGUCCAAAUUUUGUAGCUUACCAAAAACAUUAAUCGAUUUACCUCACGAGCAUUUGCAUACUCGUAAAUUUACAAAAUACUAGUUUUCAGCAUUUUGAUUUGUCAACUUUUGUCGAUCCAGACUAAGAAAGAGGGUGUUAGUUACAUACUUGUUUGCGACGAUAUGCUGAUGAGAUCUACACACGAACCGCCUACAAUUGGAUUACUAACACGUUAAUCUAACUAUUCAAAUACAAACUACGUAUUAACCCCUUACAAUAUUCGGCCAACCACACCUACAGAUCAUAGUAAGCUUAUAAGAAAUCAAUAAGCAACUCAUUAACAAAUUUUUGUCAAUGUUAACCACAUAAUCAUAAUUUCACUGCAAGCUGUCUUCUUGAGAAAUAGUCACUAAAUCAUUUAUAACUGGUGCUACAAAACUCCAAAUCAAGUGCCGUUAAUUUUCCCUGAAAAUACUCAUAUAUCUUAUAUCCAUAAAAUUUUCAGAAUUUUUGGUUUGAUCAAUCAAUACCAGAUAUUUCUCAAAGUUUCGCAUGUUUCACUGUUUGACUAAUCUGACCACUCUUCAUUACGAAUCAAAUUUUUCAUUGUACAGAAUUCAAAAUAUGUUCUCGUUUAUUUCAUUUGAAACUAGAUGCAAUAAGCUUUAAUUACAUAAUUUAUUCAGCUUCUAAUUCAUCUCCCACAAUUUAUGGUGAUUUUCCAAAGUCACGUUACUGCUACUGUCCCAAGCAGAUUUAUUACCAAAUUCACUCUUUCACACAUAACAUGUAUAUCACCAAUCAAUCAUCACAUAUCUAUGAUUUUACUUAAGUAUAAUCUCAAUUUCAUCAUUUUAAAGCACAUGUUAGCCGAUAUUUCCCCUUAGCAUCUAAGGCACAUACAUGCUCAUUUGUUUGGCUCAACUUCACCUAUCUUUCAUUUUUUAUCAAAAGAACAUGAAACAACAACCAUUUCCUUCGUUUUAAUUCAUGACUAAAUGCUCACAAUACAACUAAAAACUAAAAUAUGCUUCAAGAGUUAAGGUAGAAUCAAGAACUCAUGAACCUCAAAAUAAAAAUAAACUACCAUGAACUUACCUUCAAUUUUUCUUCCCCAAGUGACCGAACAUUCAAGAGCUUUCUCUUCUCCUUUCUCUUCUCCAACUUUAGGCUAUAAUGAACAAAGAUGGACAAAACUUUAUUCUUUUCACCCCUUUUUCUUUUAAUAAAAUUUAAUAUUUCAUUUAUUUAAUUCUUUAAUACAAAAGAUAUGAAAUUUCCAUCAUGAAAUAUUUAUUUAACCCAUUAUCAUGAAACAUUUACCUAACCCAUUAUCAUGGAACAUUUACCUAACCCAUUAUCAAUUUGUACCAUGAAUUAUAGAUAUCAAGUGUUCAUAUUGUCUACAACAACAUGAUGGCUGACUACUUCAUAUAAAAUGAGAGGUUUGUCAUGCAAAUCCUUCUAUUUUACACUAUUAUUUAUUUGGCCACUUCAAUUUAGCCUAUAGCAUUUUCAAACAUUUUUACAUAGGUCCUAUUUCAUAAUUUCACUCACAAAUGACAAAAUUAAAACAUAAAAUUUUGUCAACAUUCACAGAAUUCCCGAAAAUUGAAACGUUAAAGCAAACGAAAGAAAAAAUCUUUUCAAAAUCUUAAAGAUAGGAUCUAUUCGAGAAUUGAAGGACGGAGCUCCAGGUUACUAUCACAAGAAAGAAAGGAGGUCUUCAUUAAAUCAAUGCUUCAGGCAAUACCAACCUACGCUAUGUCAUUUUCUCUUUUACUGAAAUCAUUAUGUGAGGAGUUAGAAAAUAUUUUUUGCUAAAUUUUGGUGGCAAAAUGGCUAUGGAAAAAAAAAUACAUUGGUGUCAGUGGAAGCAUGUGUCAUCCUAAAGAAGAGGGAGGGAUAGGUUUCAGAAGUAUAAAUCAAUUUAAUAUAUCAUUAUUAGCAAAGCAAGAUGGAGGAUUUUAAAUACCCCAAACUCUUUAGUUGCGUAAGUACUUAAAGCGAAAUAAUUUCCGAAUGAGGAUUUUUUGAAUUCGCGUUUGGGAAACAAUAGUUCUUAUAUAUGGAAAAGUAUAUGGGCGACAAAGGGCAUCUUGGCAGAAGGACUUUGCUGGAAGGUGGGUAAGGGCACGAAUAUUUCAGUUAUUAAUGAUGCUUGGAUUCCAGAUGCAAGAAAUUUCAGAUUAUCGUCGUUUGCUCAUAAUAUGUGAAAUUAUAAAGUUGCUGAGCUAAUUGAUAAUAAUGACAGAAAAUGGAAGCGGGAGUUGAUUGUCAAUACCUUUCCGGAGGAAGAAGCUGAAAAGAUCUUUCGUAUUCCUUUGGAGAAAGAACCUCAUGACGAUUUUUUGGUCUAGAGCGGUGAACCUUCAGGAGAAUACUCGGUUCGAACACCUAUAAACUAUUACAAAUUUCUGAAGAUCCUAGAGCUUAUGCUUUGCAAACCGACUACAGGAAGUUUUACAAAAAAACUCUAGCUCCUAAAUCUACCUUCAAAAAUUAAGAUUAGCGUCUGGAAAAUAUCAUGGAAUUAUUUGCCUACACGGGUUAACGUGCAGCAAAGGAGGCUAACAAAUAUUGUAAUUUGUCCUCGGUGUGGAAAAUGGGCAGAAACUAUGGAUCACCUUUUUCGCGAAUGUCCUGUUUUAGUGUAAGUUUGGACAGAAUUAUCAAUCCCGAAUUUUUUACAGGAAUCUAAUUUGGAGUUUCUACAGUGGCUCACCUGGGUUUUUACUCAGAACACUCCCUCUCAAUGUAGAAUAUUUUUUUGUGCGCUAUGGGCCAUUUAGGGAGAAAGGAACGCUAGAAUGCAUGAGAAGGUAAGCAGAACUGGGAAAGAAAUAGCUAGCUUUGUCAAUAGUUAUAUUACAAAACUAAAUGGGGUUGAAUAAAGAACCCCCAAAAUUUCGCAGGAAGUUAGAAAAUGGAAUUACCCACCUGGUCAGUAAAUAAAAUCAACUUUGAUGGAGCAUACGAUGGGCAACAUUUUCAAUUGGUUUCGGAGAUUGUGGCUAGAAAUAGCGAAGGGAAUGUUCUUCUAUCUUGUUCAGAAAUUCAUCAAGAAGUGGCCUCCGCCUUCACUCUGAAGCACUCGCUUGUCGCGAAGUAGCCCAAAUGGGAAUAUACAUGCGAUGGCCAAAGAUUGUUAUAGAAGGCGACUCAUUAUCAAUAAUGAAAAAGUGCAAGGCAGAAAAACAAGAUAAAUUGUAGGUAGGAGCAUAUAUACAUGAUAUUCAACAAAUAACAUCUAGAUCUAGAAACUUAGUGUUUGAAUAUAUUCCAAGAUCAGCAAAUGGUUUAGCACAUAUACUAGCAACUGAAUCGUUAAAAAAGGAGGAGGUGUACUUGUUAGAAAGCAUCCCUGGAUAUGCUAAAAACCAGAAAGAAUUUGAUAGAGUGCGAGAACCAGAUUGAAAACGGAUAGAGAAAAAAAGGAAGGAAGGAAAGUUUCAAAUGAGCAGAUCAAUGGUUUUGGUGAUAAAAGCUUUCGUUGGAAAACUUUAACCGUCUUUAAGAAGAAAUGGGAGAUUGAUAGACAAGACGGGCAUCAGUGUUCUUUGAUUGGGCAAAGUUGCGGUGAUAAUUAUGAGCUUCUAGACUAUUCUUAUUUUAUUUUCUUUUUAGAAAUUCUUUUUAAUUCGGGCCAUUUUUUAAUGUUGGGCCUUCUCUUCUGUUUUAGUUCUAUU
Molecule: long non-coding RNA, 11543 nt
Filed under: Gossypium barbadense (sea-island cotton)
Lineage: Eukaryota; Viridiplantae; Streptophyta; Magnoliopsida; Malvales; Malvaceae
Description: long non-coding RNA (GBAR_LNC009035)
Source: RNAcentral